This is a long non-coding RNA of Canis lupus familiaris (dog), 1309 nucleotides long. RefSeq lists it as uncharacterized. Lineage: Eukaryota; Metazoa; Chordata; Mammalia; Carnivora; Canidae. The transcript is spliced from 4 exons. The record is from RefSeq and is a predicted model, not a curated record.
GCCCUUUCUCGCGGCGGCGGGGCGGCGGUGCCUGCUGGAGGGUGCGCGGGCCCGGCUCCCCUCAGGCAGCGGCUCGCUAGCCGAGGUUUGGCGCGCAGGGCCCGGCUUUCCGUGAGUCCGCGCUCGGGGGGAGCUUUCCUGCUGGAAACCCGGCCUGGAAGAGCGUCCUGGGAUCUCGGGUGAGUUGACAGGAAGGAAGGUGAUAGCUAGCCUGUGAAGGGGGCCAGAAUAAAUGACCAGCACCAUCCAGAAGAAGGUGGAGAGCCCAACACCGGGAUGAGUACACAAGACUGGGGCUGAGAGACCCACUGAUUUCAGGUGAAUAAGAGUAAUAUGUGUUGCUUUUUUUUUUUUUUUUUAAGGCAUUUUUGCAAAACGUUGAAAAGCAGUUGAGUGUGCUCAGCUGGAGUUUGCCCCCAUGAGAUGGCUCUGUUGGGGCCCACGCAACAGGAACCCUUAAGAGAAGGGCUUAGUAGAGACUGUUCGGACUCCAGGAAAUCCAAGCAGGCUAAGGCUUAGGGAAGGGGUCCAGACAAAUGGGGCGUCUGUGCCUUUGCUUCUGAUGCAGUGAUGAUUUGCAGAGGCACCCCCCAGUGGCCAGUGUGGCCCUGGCUCUGCUCUCAGUUGCCUCAGGGACAGGGCACACCCCAGCUUGGAGGUGCCAGGCCUUCAUGUGUCCUGUGUGCACCUUGUGUCGGGGGCUGAGGAUGAGGAGGAUCUUCCCUGCAGGGUCUUGGUUCUUAAUCCAGCCAUUGUGUUCAAGGGGGAAGUAAGAUCUUCACAAGCAGAGCACAAGCUGGGUGGGGCUGGGGGACAGGGAGGGAGCAUCUGAAGCAGAGUCCACAGCCUGUGGGGAGCCUGACACAGGGCUUGAUCCAUGACCCUGACAACAAGACCCGAGCUAAGACCAAGAGUUGGACGCUCCACCGACUGAGCCGCCCAGGAGCCCCAAUUCCUUUUUUUUUUUUUAUGAUUUUAUUUAUUAAUGAGAGGCACAGAGAGACACAGAAGCAGAGACAUAGGCAAAGGGAGAAGCAGGCUCCAUGCAGAGCCCAAUGCGGGACCCGAUCCCAGGACUCCAGGAUCACGCCCUAGGCCGAAGGCAGAUGCCCAACCAAUGAGCCACCCAGGCGUCCCAGGAGCCACAAUUCUAAACUUUUUUGUGCUAUAUUUGGAUUAUUCCUCCCCUACCCCACAAGGAAGAAAAAUCUAGUUGGGGAAAAAGAUGUAUGUAGGAUGAGUUUUAAGGUAAGCUGAAGGGUUGAAUGAUUUUUUCAAUAAAAGUGUUUCUCUCGGCAAAACUUGAAAA